AUACGGAGGACGCGAGCGUUAUCCGGAUUCAUUGGGUUUAAAGGGUGCGCAGGCGGCCGUGCAAGUCAGCGGUGAAAGCCCGGGGCUCAACCCCGGAAGUGCCGUUGAUACUGCAUGGCUGGAAUGCGGUCGAGGCGGGCGGGACGUGGCGGGUAGGGGGGAAAUGCGUAGAGAUGCCACAGAACGCCGAUAGCGGAGGCAGCUCGCCAGGCCUGCAUUGACGCUCGGGCACGAAAGCGUGGGGAUCGAACAGGAUUAGAUACCCUGGUAGUCCACGCCGUAAACGAUGGGCGCUCGUCGUCGGCGACAGACAGUCGGCGGCCAAGCGAAAGCGAUAAGCGCCCCACCUGGGGAGUACGGUCGCAAGGCUGAAACUCAAAUGAAUUGACGGGG
This 393-nucleotide ribosomal RNA is filed under the name uncultured bacterium. RNAcentral's name for it is "partial 16S ribosomal RNA". It matches the Rfam family "Bacterial small subunit ribosomal RNA", at positions 523 to 918 of the family's 1533-position model. The record is from RNAcentral.